CAGCUCGUCGUAAGAAGCUCCGAUCAAUUCCUUAAUUCGAAACAAGUCACGGAGAACAAAACGCGAAGCAACUCAUCACUCAGAGCUUCGACACCUUCACUGAAUCAAAUCGUGUCCACCAUUUGCUGACUGGCAGUACUCACAUCACCAGCCAAGGAAGUUAGAGAGAGUGAUUACGCUUUUUUUUUUGUCCGUUAUAGUUAAGUUUCCAUAUUUGUGGCAAAUUAUUAGAGCACAUAACACAUUAGACUGCACAGGGACGCAGAAUGAAAGCACUCAGCAUCAACAGAGUGGCAGCAUGAUGAGGCUCACCAUGAAAUCAGGCAGCUGAAGCCUUGCAGUUCCGCAAUCCAUCCCAGCCCUCGGUCCUCCCCGUCCCCACCGCUCAGGGCCUCACACUCACACGUCAGCCUGAGGGUUGGUGCUGUCUGUCCCGUCCUGAGGGUGGUGGGCUGCCGUCUGU
Scylla paramamosain (green mud crab) is the source of this 463-nucleotide long non-coding RNA. RefSeq lists it as uncharacterized. Lineage: Eukaryota; Metazoa; Arthropoda; Malacostraca; Decapoda; Portunidae. The record is from RefSeq and is a predicted model, not a curated record. The transcript has 3 exons.